GACGAACGCUGGCGGCGUGCCUAACACAUGCAAGUCGAACGAAGCUCCAGUCACUGCGUUUUCGGACAAGGUGGGUGGAUGACUUAGUGGCGGACGGGUGAGUAACGCGUGAGCAACCUGCCCUUCGGAGGGGGACAACAGCUGGAAACGGCUGCUAAUACCGCAUGAAAUAUAUCUGAGGCAUCUUGGAUAUAUCAAAGAUUUAUCGCCGAAGGAUGGGCUCACGUCUGAUUAGCUAGUUGGUGGGGUAAUGGCCCACCAAGGCUGCGAUCAGUAGCCGGACUGAGAGGUUGACCGGCCACAUUGGGACUGAGAUACGGCCCAGACUCCUACGGGAGGCAGCAGUGGGGAAUAUUGGGCAAUGGGGGCAACCCUGACCCAGCAACGCCGCGUGAAGGAAGAAGGCUUUCGGGUUGUAAACUUCUUUUAUGAGGGACGAAGGAAGUGACGGUACCUCAUGAAUAAGCCACGGCUAACUACGUGCCAGCAGCCGCCGUAACAC
This 502-nucleotide ribosomal RNA is filed under the name uncultured bacterium. Its description in RNAcentral is "bacterial SSU rRNA". It matches the Rfam family "Bacterial small subunit ribosomal RNA", at positions 28 to 526 of the family's 1533-position model. The record is from RNAcentral.